UAAGGUCUAAUCUGCCCGCUGAGUAUUAAUUGAAUGGCYGCAGUAUUUUAACUGUGCAAAGGUAGCAUAAUCACUAGUCUUUUAAUUGAGGACUUGUAUGAAUGAUUGGACGAGAUAUAUGCUGUGUCAAAGUGUAAAAUAGAAUUUUAUUUUUUAGUUAAAAAGCUAAAAUUUUAAUUAAAGACGAGAAGACCCUAUAGAUCUUUAUAUAUUAAUUUAUUUUGAAUAUUUGGUUUAAUUUGUUUUASAUAAAUUAAUUUAUUUUGUUGGGGUGACAUUAAGAUUAAUAUAACUCUUGAUUUUUUAUUACAUUGAUUUUUGGAUGUAUUAUAUUUGAUCCUUUAUUAUGGAUUGUAAAAUUAAGUUACCUUAGGGAUAACAGCAUAAUUUUUCUGGAGAGUUCUUAUCGAUAGAAAAGAUUGUGACCUCGAUGUUGGAUUAAGAUUAAAAUUGGGGGUAGAAUUUCAAUGUUUUAAGUCUGUUCGACUUUUAAAAUCUUACAUGAUCUGAGUUCAAACCGGCGUGAGCCAGGUUGGUUUCUAUCUUUAUUAAAUUAGAGUAUUUUAGUACGAAAGGACCAGAUACUUAAAUUAUUAAUUUUUUAUAUGAAUUAUAUUAAUUU
Molecule: ribosomal RNA, 622 nt
Filed under: Atrichochira sp. 'Yeppoon'
Lineage: Eukaryota; Metazoa; Arthropoda; Insecta; Diptera; Bombyliidae
Description: partial 16S ribosomal RNA
Rfam family: Bacterial large subunit ribosomal RNA
Source: RNAcentral